UUUAUAACUGUAAUUUCAGGGUAGUGGAAUCUGUUUCAGCAUUUAUUUAAGUCACAGUGUUCUUGUGGUUUGAGUUCAUUUUAAUGAUUGUGUGGCAAAAUUAUGCUUGGUGAUUAGUUCAUCCUGCCUUCAGUUAAUUAUUUACAUCCCAGUUAAAAUAGCUGAAAAUUCUACCACAUUCAUGCAGUUGUAGAAUAACAGAAACAAGAUCACUGUGUCUGAAAAAUAUGGCACCAUUAAGCACCUAUUUACACUAAUCCUACAUUUUUUUUCAUAUUCUCAUCAACUUCCCCCGGGUUCUACCACUCACCUAUACAUGACGGGCAAUCAACCCUGCAAUCUGCACAACACAGGAAGCUUGCUCUGCUGCCAGAGAGGGGUGGCUGCCUUUUGAUCGCUGGUGGACUCACUCUGCCGACAGAGAGGAAAGCCUGUUGCCUGUCACUGUGCCUUGAGAAUGUCACCCAGAUGCUGUCUGACCUGCUGAGAAACUCCUUCAGCUCACUUUUUUGGCCAUUCCAAUCUCAGAUGAGAAGAAAAUGCAUCAUGCAGGGCGUGGAGAAUCUUUGCAAAAUUCUGUCCAAGAGGGGAUGAAGCCUCUUAUGCUGAAAAUAUUCAGAGAUUGAUGGAUACAUGGGGCAUCUGGACGUGUGGUGCUUGUGCAGGAAUAUGUCACUAAGAUGGCAGCUUCUGUUACCAUUCAACAAGAUCAUGACUAUUCCUGUGUCCCUUUCCUGUCUGAUUAUCUCAGACAAGUCUGGAAUCCCAAGAAUCACACUGGCGAAAGCUUUUUUCACCCCUUUUAGUUAAGAUUACACUUCAUUAGGUGAGUAAACUAAAUAUCUGGACAAUGUGACUUCAUAAAUGUAAAUUAUCAUCAAUCAGAAAUGUUAACUUUUUUUUUCUUCCCUCAGAUGUGGCAUGACCUGCUGAGUAUUUCCAGCAAUUUUAGUUUUAUUUGUGAUUUCAAAUAUUUAUCAGGCAAAACUUUCUCCUCUGACUAUAGUGCUCUCUCCCAGUGUAAGUUAACGCACCACUUACUCACUAAUUGCUUUCUUCACUUAUGUUCAGACCUGCCCUUAGGGAAUGCAGCAUUGUCAGAAACAUUAAUCAAAUGCCCUUGUCCAUUCAUCCCCACAUUGUUCGUAUUUGUUGUCAAUUUCCAGGGCCUUAAGCUCUGGAAUUUCUUCUCUAAACCUCUCUACUUCCUCAGAAGAAAUUGGAAAAAGAGCAGGUUAUUCAGCCCCUCAGGCAGUGCUAUUAUUUAACUAAUUCAAGUCUCUUUCCUGCCUGGCUUGAACAGCCUUUGCAUGUCUAAAAUUUACCUCAAACUCGUGUGCGAAAACAUUCAACAACCUAAGUCCUUUGGGUGGGGAUUUCCAAGGAUGCACAGACCAUUGCAAAAGGGAACUUCCCAUCAUCACUCCUUGUGAUGUCCAGCCUUUAUUCUGAGGUGAAGAUAGAAGAGAAAGCUGAUGAUAGAAGCUGGAGCAAAAUGCAGACUGCUGGAAGAACACAAAGGUUUGUGACCCAGAAUUUUGACCGUUUCUUUUCUCCAAACGAUGCUACUCAGUCCAUUGAGUUCAUUCAGCAGUUUCUUCUUUUUCCUUGUGCUUUAUCCUAAAGAUAUGCUCUGCAGUUCUAGAUGUUUCAAGCAGAGCAACCCGACUCCCAGUAUCCACCAUGCCAACCUCUAUGAACCUACCUUCCACCUCUCUCUGUGAUUAAGCUCCUGCUCAUCUGCCCUAUUAUCAUUUUAUGUGAUAGUAUCAGAUUUUGCCUGAUAAUACUCACAGGGAAAUUUUUGCUACAUUGAAAUUGCUACAUAAACAUCAAUUUGCUUAAAUAGUUCAGGAGGCUGGUAAAAAUACAAUGGUGCUCUACAGGAAAGUUCUCCAGGAACCCAAUCAUAUUUCUUCUCUCCAUCUCCUUUCAAAGCAAAUGUGUAAAAUGGCCACCGAAAAUAUCCCAAAAAACAUUAUCAGAAUAGUAGGGAGACACGUGAGACUGAGCAAAGCAGCCAGAGAAACAAGCAGAUUGCUGGAGAAACUCAACACGUUGAGCAGCAUCUGUAGGAGGGGCAGAACCGUCAGAAUUUUGAAUCGAGGCCAAGACUGAAGAAAAGUUUUGACCUGAAACGUCGCCGAGUACUUUCCCCCAGAGCGCUGCUGAAUUCCUCCAGCAGGUUGCUUGCUGUUAUCAGAACAGUAAAUUAAUUAGCUUUAUGUGAAAUGCCUUGGAAUGUUUUUGUGAAGUGUAGUGAGGUAAGUUUCUAUAUUUCAUGCUCUGUGAUCAUUUCUUUGGGAUAUCCAACACCUAAAAGAGAAUUUCCCUCUAGAGUUAUAAAUUAAUUGGGUCAUAGAGGCCAUUCAGUUCACCAGGUCCCUGCUGACCCUUUUCCCCAUCUCAGCCCAUGUCGUCUAGGAACAUGACAGAUGACAAGUUAUGGACACAGCUCUGCACAUCACAAAAACUGACUUCGCUUACAUAGCUUCAGUUUAUACUUCCCCCUGCCUCAGCUAACAUAAUCAAAGACCAUCUCACAUCAGACAUUUUUGCCUCUCUGCCCUCCUGUUGGCCAGAACUUACAAGAAUCUGAAAGCACAGGCAGAAGGACAGCUUCUAUCAGCUUGUUAUAGGAUUAUUAAGAAGAUCUUCUCUACAAUAAAAUGGACUCUGAUGUUACAACCUAUCUCAUUAUGGUCUUGAACUUACUUGUCCACCUGCACUGCACUUUCUCUGUAAUUAUAAUAUUAUACUCUGUACUCUGUUAUUGUUUUUCUUUUUGUACAACCUCAAUGCACUAAUGAGAUGAAAUAACUUGUGUUGAUAGUAUGCAAAACAAAGACUUUCACUGGACUUCCUGUCAGAUCACUGGCAGGGGUAAGAGUGGGCUCCCUCAACUCUGCAUCUCUGACCCUCAACACAGGAACUCUUCAGGGCUGUUUAAUAACCACUCUCCUUUACUCUCUGUAUACCCAUGACUGUGUCACCAUCCACAGCUCCAAUCCGCUAAUUAAAUUUGCUGACACUACACUAAUUGUCCUAAUCCCAAAUAAUAAUGAGGCAGCCUACAGAAAAGAAGUCAUCACUCUGACACAGUAGAGUCAAGAAAACAUCCUCUCCCUCAAUGUCGCAAAAACAAAGAAGCUGGUUGUGGACUACGGGAGGAAUGGAGACGGGCUAACCCCUAUUGACAUUAAUGGAUCUGGGGUUGAGAAGGUGAACAGCUUUAAGUUCCUCGGCAUCCACAUCACUGAUGAUCUCACGUGGUCUGUACCUACUGGCUGUGUGGUGACAAAGGCACAACAGCGCCUCUUUCACCUCAUACGGUUGAACAAAUUUGGUAUGGGCCCCCAAAUUCUAAGAAAUUUCUACGGGGGAACAAAUGAGAGCAUCUUGACAGGUUGUAUCACUGCCUGGUAUGGGAACUGUACCUCCCUCAAUCGCAGGGCUCUGCAGAGAGUGGUGUGGUCAGGCCAGCACAUCUGUAGAUGUGAACUUCCCACUAUUCAGGACAUUUUCAGAGAAAGGGCCAGAAGGAUCAGUGGGGACCCAGGUCACCCGAACCACAAACUGUUCCAGCUGCUACCAUCCAGGAAAGGGUAUCACAGCAUGAAAGCCAGGACCAACAAGCUCCAGGGCAGCUCCUUCCACCAGGUUAUCAGACUGAUUAAUUCAUGCUGAGACUACUGUA
Molecule: long non-coding RNA, 3697 nt
Organism: Hypanus sabinus (Atlantic stingray)
Lineage: Eukaryota; Metazoa; Chordata; Chondrichthyes; Myliobatiformes; Dasyatidae
Exons: 3
Source: RefSeq, a predicted model, not a curated record